RNAcentral lists this ribosomal RNA (108 nucleotides) under Candidatus Anderseniibacteriota bacterium. The record is from RNAcentral. Lineage: Bacteria; Candidatus Anderseniibacteriota.
CUUGGUGCGUUGAGCGGAGGGGUCACACCUGUUCCCAUUCCGAACACAGCCGUUAAGCCCUCCAGCGCCGAUGAUAUCCCUUUGGGAGAACGUAGGUCCGUGCCAGGC